ACGAACGCUGGCGGCGUGCUUAACCCAUGCCAGUCGCACGGAAAGGCCCUGCUUGCAGGGUACUCGAGUGGCGAACGGGUGAGUAACACGUGGGUGAUCUGCCCUGCACUUCGGGAUAAGCCUGGGAAACUGGGUCUAAUACCGGAUAGGAGCCAUUUUUAGUGUGAUGGUUGGAAAGUUUUUUCGGUGUAGGAUGAGCUCGCGGCCUAUCAGCUUGUUGGUGGGGUAAUGGCCUACCAAGGCGGCGACGGGUAGCCGGCCUGCGAGGGUGGACGGCCACAUUGGGACUGAGAUACGGCCCAGACUCCUACGGGAGGCAGCAGUGGGGAAUAUUGCACAAUGGGCGCAAGCCUGAUGCAGCGACGCCGCGGGGGGGAUGACGGCCUUCGGGUUGUAAACUCCUUUCGCUAGGGACGAAGCUUUUUGUGACGGUACCUAGAUAAGAAGCACCGGCUAACUACGUG
This 464-nucleotide ribosomal RNA is filed under the name uncultured bacterium. Its description in RNAcentral is "partial 16S ribosomal RNA". It matches the Rfam family "Bacterial small subunit ribosomal RNA", at positions 29 to 507 of the family's 1533-position model. The record is from RNAcentral.